AGCAGAAGUGCACUUGCAACGACUCAAACCUAUCGCGACCAGCCAUCGUCAUGAAGCUACUCGCCACUGUUCUUUUCGCCGUCCUGGUGCUGUUCGCAAUCUACUCCGAAAUCGAAGCUCAACAGACUUUCGCAGGUAGCGAAAAAUUGUC
Diprion similis is the source of this 151-nucleotide long non-coding RNA. RefSeq lists it as uncharacterized. The record is from RefSeq and is a predicted model, not a curated record. Lineage: Eukaryota; Metazoa; Arthropoda; Insecta; Hymenoptera; Diprionidae. The transcript is spliced from 4 exons.